UACAGAGGGUGCGAGCGUUAAUCGGAAUUACUGGGCGUAAAGCGUGCGUAGACGGUUAUUUAAGUCGGGUGUGAAAGCCCCGGGCUCAACCUGGGAAUGGCAUUUGGGACUGCAAGGCUGGAGUUUGGCAGAGGAGACUGGAAUUCCUGGUGUAGCAGUGAAAUGCGUAGAUAUCAGGAGGAAUACCGAUGGCGAAGGCAGGUCUCUGGGCUAUAACUGACGCUCAUGCACGAAAGCGUGGGGAGCAAACAGG
Molecule: ribosomal RNA, 253 nt
Filed under: uncultured bacterium
Lineage: Bacteria
Description: partial 16S ribosomal RNA
Rfam family: Bacterial small subunit ribosomal RNA
Source: RNAcentral